Bemisia tabaci is the source of this 752-nucleotide non-coding RNA. Lineage: Eukaryota; Metazoa; Arthropoda; Insecta; Hemiptera; Aleyrodidae. The record is from RefSeq and is a predicted model, not a curated record.
CAAUUUUACCUUUUAAUUGGGCCGUCAUUAAGUCGCUUUCUUGUGCCACCACAAAACUUUCAGGGUAUCUUCUGGAGUCCCUGGGACCCCUUCUAGCAAUUAAAAUUUCCGUAUCCCGGAGGAACAUUCAAAAUGGCGGCAUGUCCAAAAAUCGAGAGUUUCGAAGGUGCUCCCACAAAUCCACAAUUUUCUCAUUCGAAAAUCUGUCACAGAUAUGCAAAAUUGUCAUGGAAUAAAACUUAUUUACACAAAAUUUGACCCCAGAAACUAUGUUGGACCUCUGCGUCCUUUUCUUUUAGUGAAAAAAUAUAAUUUAAUUGAAAGAUUCUUGUCACAAUGCUGAAAACCCAGCGACUCUAAUGCUUCAACUGCAUGCCAAAAACUUCAUCACACCUUCUAGUUACGUGAUUUAUGAGGUUCAAACCUCAGAAUCCCUACCUCUUCCAUAAGAGACAAAUCUCAUUUCCUCGUAAUUUCCUGUUCUAUGGCAUUUGCAGGGACGGAUUUACGUUUUUGGCGCCCUGUGCAGAAAUUUUCGAGGCGCCCCCCUCGCACGUCCCCCCACCCCCGCCUGCGCAUUUCCCAACCCGACGGUCUUCUUUGGUUACUACGUGCUAACUCUAACUAAAUACGAAUAUUUCGAGUGAGUGAAUGAUUCUGGGGCAGAAACCAAAAUCAGGUACCUGUUCCUGUUACUGUUAACUACGAAACUAAGAGAAAGUUUGACCCUUAAAGUCUAGGGUCAGGUCAUU